Molecule: small nuclear RNA, 118 nt
Organism: Salvia hispanica
Lineage: Eukaryota; Viridiplantae; Streptophyta; Magnoliopsida; Lamiales; Lamiaceae
Product: U5 spliceosomal RNA
Source: RefSeq, a predicted model, not a curated record
AGCCAUGCGUCGAGCACGUAGCGUACUAUUCUUUAGCCUUUUACUAAAGAAUAACGUGUGUUCGUCGCUAAUCAAGCGGCAUACACUUAUUUUUGGAAGGUUGUCUUUUAUAGGACAA